CCAGUACAUAGACCAGCUCCAGAACAGGGCACUGGGAUGAGGAAGGGGCUGCUUUCAGAGAUAUGGCCAUAUUUUAUCAGGGAAUUUGACAAAGAGGGAAUUUUAAAAAUGAAUUUUUCCAUCUGACUUUAUUUCCAGAUACACUCCCUUGUUUUGUUUUCUUAAAAAAACAAUACACUGUUUUUUGUUUGUUUGUUUGUUUUUGGUGGGAAUGACAAGUAUCAGUAUUAGGAAAUCCAAUUAUACA
Molecule: long non-coding RNA, 247 nt
Organism: Perognathus longimembris pacificus (Pacific pocket mouse)
Lineage: Eukaryota; Metazoa; Chordata; Mammalia; Rodentia; Heteromyidae
Exons: 3
Source: RefSeq, a predicted model, not a curated record